GCCCCUGUGGUGGAAUGGUAGACGCGGCAGACUCAAAAUCUGUUGCCUGUAAGGGCGUGCUGGUUCAAGUCCGGCCAGGGGCACCA
This 86-nucleotide transfer RNA is filed under the name Parvibaculum sp. RNAcentral's name for it is "tRNA-Leu". It matches the Rfam family "tRNA". Rfam says of the family: Transfer RNA (tRNA) molecules are approximately 80 nucleotides in length. The record is from RNAcentral. Lineage: Bacteria; Pseudomonadati; Pseudomonadota; Alphaproteobacteria; Hyphomicrobiales; Parvibaculaceae.